This 428-nucleotide ribosomal RNA is filed under the name uncultured bacterium. RNAcentral describes it as "bacterial SSU rRNA". It matches the Rfam family "Bacterial small subunit ribosomal RNA", at positions 355 to 775 of the family's 1533-position model. The record is from RNAcentral.
UGGGGAAUUUUGGACAAUGGGGGCAACCCUGAUCCAGCCAUCCCGCGUGUGCGAUGAAGGCCUUCGGGUUGUAAAGCACUUUUGGCAGGGAAGAAACAGCCUGGGCUAAUAUCCCGGGCGACUGACGGUACCUGCAGAAUAAGCCACGGCUAACUACGUGCCAGCAGCCGCGGUAAUACGUAGGUGGCAAGCGUUGUCCGGAUUUACGGGGCGUAAAGGAUGCGUAGGCGGAUACUUAAGUCAGAUAUGAAAAUCCCGGGCUUAACUUUGGAACUGCAUUUGAAACUGGGUAUCUAGAGUGCGGGAGAGGAAAGUGGAAUUCCUAGUGUAGCGGUGAAAUGCGUAGAGAUUAGGAAGAACACCAGUGGCGAAGGCGACUUUCUGGACCGUAACUGACGCUGAGGCAUGAAAGCGUGGGGAGCAAACAG